UACGUAGGGUGCAAGCGUUGUCCGGAAUUAUUGGGCGUAAAGAGCUCGUAGGCGGUCUGUCGCGUCGGAUGUGAAAAUCCAGGGCUCAACCCUGGACCUGCAUUCGAUACGGGCAGACUAGAGUUCGGUAGGGGAGACUGGAAUUCCUGGUGUAGCGGUGAAAUGCGCAGAUAUCAGGAGGAACACCGGUGGCGAAGGCGGGUCUCUGGGCAACUACUGACGCUGAGGAGCGAAAGCGUGGGGAGCAAACAGG
Molecule: ribosomal RNA, 253 nt
Filed under: uncultured bacterium
Lineage: Bacteria
Description: partial 16S ribosomal RNA
Rfam family: Bacterial small subunit ribosomal RNA
Source: RNAcentral